UACGUAGGGUGCAAGCGUUAUCCGGAAUUAUUGGGCGUAAAGAGUAUCGUAGGCGGUUUUAUAAGUCAUUUGUCUAAGCCCGGGGCUUAACUCCGGAAAGGCAAGUGAUACUAUUUAACUAGUAUUCAGUCGGGGAUGCUGGAAUGUCUGGUGGAGGGGUGAAAUCCGUUGAGAUCAGAUAGAACACCAAGGGCGAAGGCAGGCAUCUAGGCUGUAAUAGACGCUGAUGAACGAAAGCUAGGGUAGCAAAAGGGAUUAGAUACCCCUGUA
RNAcentral lists this ribosomal RNA (270 nucleotides) under uncultured prokaryote. RNAcentral's name for it is "partial 16S ribosomal RNA". It matches the Rfam family "Bacterial small subunit ribosomal RNA", at positions 524 to 792 of the family's 1533-position model. The record is from RNAcentral.